GACAAUUACAUCUGAAAAACAUUUCGCUCUUUUAGUGGCCGUCCACCUGUCUGUGAUGCUCUCUCUCUCCGCGUGACCUCGUCCGUCUUGGCCCUUUGGGUUUUCUGUGUUUCUGCUUCUCUCUGCUGUGUUACCACCUCUGCGAGAUCGGCCCCCCCCGACGGCCUGUGUCACGACAACCUGCCGCUCCUCAAACCUUUGGCCCCUGCCCGUGAAAACCAGCAAGUCAUGCAUCUAAAGAGUUUUACUACGAGACAAAGUCUACGCCCUUAUCAGCCUGCAAGUUGAACGAGACAAAGAAGAAAUGUUUGACAGACUUUCAAAAAGUAACACGACCAGGGUCAACCUAAUCCCACCAAUUUUUUCGUAAUCAUGAGGAGGAGUGUCAGAAAAAGCAGGAAGUGUGAGGCCCCUGCAGGUACACAGGUCGGACACACCCUUGUACUCACACAUCGGAAAGCCUCCCCCCGUGUUGACAGCGACCAUAAAAUCUGCGUUAUCUACACAGGCCUUGGCCCUUUGGUCGGGCUGUUGGAAAAGAGUGUGAGCGAUGAUGCUGACUCCUCAGGCAAUAAAACUGGGUGGAGGAAACCUGCCGGGGUCAAAGUCACCUGCGAGCGGAGACUCCUCACGUACUAAAGCAACCGCCUCCGAGUCCAGAUCCUGAGUUAACCUCGGUGCUUCUCCUCUCUCGCCUCAGGUACGUUCUCCACACCAGCACCGAACCGCCUGGAGGAAAACGGUGAGUGGGACCAGGAGUCGAGGUGGAGAUGCUGCAGUUUGUCCUCAGCCUUAAUUGUGGUGCUUUUGCUGUAUGUAACAGCAACUCCAUGUGGAAGUCAUGUGUGUGUUCCAGUGGAGAUGGUGUUACCUGCAGAGAGCCGCCGAUCACAACGUGAGGAAUUUUUCCUGCUCUUUUCUUCUCUUGGCUAAUUUUCUUUGUUUCACGGCAAGACGAGCCUCCCUGGUAAAGUGUUUUUGACUCAUGUUGAAGUAGCCGAGGAGCGACAGGGCACAAGGUGAUGACCUAUGAAUUGACAGCCAGUGAUUGUAACCUCUGCCUGUCAGUUCUGUAGGCCACUGCUGCGUUCUCCCUUAACCUGCACAGAUUCACACAGAAAGAAUGUUGUGUGGUCUCAUGGAGCUGAUGCAUCUGUGGCUUGGACAUGAAUUGCAAUUGUUUUUGCAGCAUCUUCAAUAAAGAAUUAAAACGUGAAUGUGCUGCUUCGUGUUUGAACGAGUCUGUCAUUUGUACUCCGUUGCUAUGAGCAAGAUUUAUCUGCCAAAUAAAGUAGAUUUGAUAUUUAUCACACACGAUUACAAAUUGUAUGUUUACUUCAAACAGCUUUUUUAACAUUAGUAUAGUAUAAAUAGUAACUUACCUCGGGAAAAACAUUUACUGGUGUCAUGCAUGUGGAUUCAUGACAGAAUUUGUGUUUCAAGGAAAGUGAAUGUGGUGAAAGGCUGAUGACAUCGUCCUCACACAGACGUCUAUGUUCUAUUUAUGGUAUUUUACAUCAACAGAACUGAUUGUACGCAGAUGUGAAAAUGAUCGUAUACACUGAAAAUAAAUACGUGAACAAGAA
Long non-coding RNA from Platichthys flesus (European flounder), 1586 nucleotides. RefSeq lists it as uncharacterized. NCBI's taxonomy places the organism in Eukaryota, Metazoa, Chordata, Actinopteri, Pleuronectiformes, Pleuronectidae. The transcript has 2 exons. The record is from RefSeq and is a predicted model, not a curated record.